This 69-nucleotide transfer RNA is filed under the name Dilophus febrilis. RNAcentral's name for it is "tRNA-Glu". The record is from RNAcentral. Lineage: Eukaryota; Metazoa; Arthropoda; Insecta; Diptera; Bibionidae.
UAUUUAUUAGUUUAACCCAAAACAUUACACUUUCACUGUAAAUAUAAAAUACUAUAAUUUUAUAAAUUA